UCGCCACCCUCUGCCCGCGGCGGGAGGCGGCGUGUGGGCCUCUUGCGGGCCCGGGCUUCUGCGCGGCGGCGGCGCGGACGCCGGGGUUCGACAUGGCCAGCUGGGUGUUCUGUAAUCGCUGCUUCCAGCCGCCGCACCGGACGUCGUGCUUCAGCCUGACCAACUGCGGCCACGUAUACUGCGACGUCUGCCUGGACAAAGGUAGAAAGGGCGAGUGCUUGAUUUGUAAAGUGCCUUGUCGCACACUUUUACUUUCAGAACACACGGACGCGGAUAUCCGGGCGCUGUUCAUGGGUAUAGACGACCUGUGUAGGAAGUACUCAAAGGAGACCUUCCAGGUUUCAGAAUUUCAAGAAAAGCACAGAAGGAGACUGUUGGCCUUCUAUAGAGAAAAGAUCUCAAAGCUGGAAGAGUCCCUUCGGAAGUCAGUGCUGCGGUUGGAACAGCUGCAGGGUGUGAGAUUGUCACAGCAGACAGCUUUCAGCACAAUAAAAACUCCAGUUUCGACUCCUUCGGCACGGCCAGGUGGACACCUCCGGCCCCCUGACUCGUCAGCCUCCAACAGGGUGGAGUCCAUGCAGGUCGACCUCACUCCUUCCCCAGCGAGAAAACCUGAGGUCACGGCUGGCCCGGCAAGAAUCUCUCUGAUCAGCCCGCCUCAUGAUGGACGCAUGGGUCUUGAGACAAAGGCACGCGUACACACCCUUUACUUGACCGCCUCCGGGGCUUCGUUACCGGCCUCUCUCCUUUCCCUUCGGCCUGAAGCGCGCUGUCGUCGAAGGGCAGGGCAGCCGGCGGUGGGUUCUCCCGGUCUCUGUCCACGUCUGAGUGGCUUCGCUUCGUGUGCAUCUCGGAGGCUCGCUUCCCUGGACGUGGCUCCGUGGGCCACCGCUUCCAGCCCGUGGAGGUUCCUGCUGCCGCCGGUGAGAAGUCGGCCCUGAGUCAUGCUGCCCUGGGCCGCCCUGGUUUCCUCCUCGAGCGGGGAGCCCUCCGGCCUUGUCGUCUUAAGACCGUCUCGUCUCUCGUGCGGGAGCCGGCUCGGCACCGCCCGCCCCUGGCUGUCCCCACCUCGCUGUGCCACCACCCGGUCCACGUGUGGCUGCCGGCUGCCCCGUGUGGCGGCCGUGCCGGGGUUCACGUCUGUGUCCGGCUGGUCCCGGCUUCUGCGCGGCCUGGGCCCCUUCCCCACGAGCGCGCUUGACGGAGCGGGGAGCUCCCCCCUGCCCCGGGCACAGCCGCCCUGCUCCCCGCCGCCCGGGACCCCUCCCCCUCAGCGACCGCCCGCCGGCACCUGCCUCGGUGGCACGUUGGUGCCUCGUUCAGGAAACAGCGCGGGCUCGUCCGUCUGCCGCCACAGGCCGGUGAGGUUUUCCGUGUUCUGGAUAAGGGAACUUGUCCUCUCUAAACGGCCAAUUUCUCGUUUGCCAACGGAAAUCUUUCUAACCUCAUUGAACGGCAUGGCUUUCUGGAACAGGAGCUACGGGCCUUGACUUGCUGCCCGUCCUGUCGGUCGGGGAGCCUCGGUCUGAGCGCCCGGUCCCAGCGGGGCUGAAGCAGGGGAUACGCCCCAGCGCCCGAGUGCUCGGUCGUGCCCUGCUCUGGAGUUCCCGCGUGGCCGGGGUUCCCGCUCAGACCCCGUGUGCCACGAGGUUCCCACCUGCCGCAUGCGGGGCGUCAACCCCAAACCCCUGUGAGUUCACCUCCGGGGGCCUCGGUUCCCUCAUCGCUGUGGAUAACCGUCAUCGCCACGAGUCCCGCAAAGAGUAACUAAGACUCCCUCUCCGUGGGCUGUAGCACGUUGAGCACGUAACCUGCCAUUACCGUUUGUGUUGCGCCGGGGUUAAAAUGUCCCGGGACUUGUCUGAUGAGAUGUGUGGCCAGCCCACCAGGAGACAAGGUUUUCCUCACAGCCCCGGCAGCCGGAGGCGGGCACGCCCCACAGGGGCCCUCGGGCAGAGGGAGCAGGGAGGCUGGUCUUCACCGGAAGGAGUGGUGGGCGGUGAGGACGGCUUGGGAUUGGCUACUUGGGAUCAUUUCAGCAGUUUUGGGGGUGGGGGUAGGGCAGAGCGGCGAGGUGAUGGGGAGCACCUCUAGGCACUCAGAUUUCAUGUCACAGGCCAGCUCACCGACGAGUCGUUACUCUUUGGGAGUCAGCUAGCCCUGGGAGGGGUGGUCUUCCCGGAAUAAGCAAGGCCCCGUGGUGUCAAACCAUCAUAAAACACAGGAGAUAAGUAACGAGUCAUUUUGCGUCUCUGGUCUCAGCCAUUGUGCUGCGGCACGGCCGGUAGGCAGAGACACGAGGUCCCUGUUGGCCACCGGGUGCCGUGCGGCCCUGGGAAAGGCGCUGCCCCUCUCUGAUCCGGGUUCUUCAAUGUGAAAGGAAACACGGGGAGCCUCAAUGCUGUCUUCCCCGUUCUCCCUGCCAUUCUUCUGUUCAAAUUCUCCAAGAUUUGGAUGCAAAGGAAUUCGGGUGUUAAACGCUAGUAGUCUUCAGAUUUGCUCUCUGCUGUGACUAAUGCGUGCCAGGGGCUGUUUGCGUCUUUCAAAGAAGCUUCUUAUUAGCACGGAGGAUGUCAGCAGAAAUUCGGGAGCUUGGCGGUGUGGGCGGAGACCAGAGCCGGUCCUGGGGCUAAGGGACUCAGAGCCAGAAGCUGGUGAAAGUGCCUUUCCCUGCCAGUGAUUCUGAGUGACAGGAGCAGGGACAGAGUAAGACAGAGAGCAGGUCUCCGCACACGUCUUGAGCCGUCUGCAUCCCGGGUGCCCUCCCCAGCCCAGCCUGCGGCCCAGAGCUCGGUGUCGGGCAGAGGCUCUGCGGGGCUGGCGGUCCGGUCCGGGUGUGCCCUGGGCAGCUGCCGGGCACGGGGGCCACAGCACUGGAUCCCAGGAGUUCCGUUCCAGUCCUGUGGGCAGCGUCGCCCGCCGCGGCCCUCAGCCCCUCGGCCCGACGCCAAGUCACAGGGAGCUGCCCCAGGCCCUCAGGGUCCCACCGCUGCCUGUCCCCGGCAAGGGGCUGUCCCAGGUGCCCGCGCCCCAGG
Felis catus (domestic cat) is the source of this 3035-nucleotide RNA transcript. It is a transcript of the gene named ring finger protein 212, with no coding region annotated. The record is from RefSeq and is a predicted model, not a curated record. The transcript is spliced from 12 exons. NCBI's taxonomy places the organism in Eukaryota, Metazoa, Chordata, Mammalia, Carnivora, Felidae.